GUGGUUGUAGCUCAGUCGGGUAAGCGCUUGCUUCUUAUGAAAGAGAUGCGGAUUCAUAUUCCGGCCAUGAAAAGUAACUACA
This 82-nucleotide transfer RNA is filed under the name Plutella xylostella (diamondback moth). RNAcentral describes it as "tRNA-Lys". Lineage: Eukaryota; Metazoa; Arthropoda; Insecta; Lepidoptera; Plutellidae. The record is from RNAcentral.